Molecule: ribosomal RNA, 497 nt
Filed under: uncultured bacterium
Lineage: Bacteria
Description: partial 16S ribosomal RNA
Rfam family: Bacterial small subunit ribosomal RNA
Source: RNAcentral
GAUGAACGCUGGCGGCGUGCCUAAUACAUGCCAGUCGAGCGAACGGACGAGAAGCUUGCUUCUCUGGUGUUAGCGGCGGACGGGUGAGUAACACGUGGAUAACCUACCUAUAAGACUGGGAUAACUUCGGGAAACCGGAGCUAAUACCGGAUAAUAUUUUGAACCGCAUGGUUCAAAAGUGAAAGACGGUCUUGCUGUCACUUAUAGAUGGAUCCGCGCUGCAUUAGCUAGUUGGUAAGGUAACGGCUUACCAAGGCAACGAUGCAUAGCCGACCUGAGAGGGUGAUCGGCAACACUGGAAAUGAGACACGGUACAGACUCCUAAGGGAGGCAGCAGUAGGGAAUCUUCCGCAAUGGGAGAAAGCAUGACGGAGCAACGCAGCGUGAGUGAUGAAGGCCUUCGGAUCGUAAAACUCUGUUAUUAGGGAAGAACAUAUGUGUAAGUAACUGUGCACAUCUUGACGGUACCUAAUCAGAAAGCCACGGCUAACUACGUG